Molecule: long non-coding RNA, 2526 nt
Filed under: Pectinophora gossypiella (pink bollworm)
Lineage: Eukaryota; Metazoa; Arthropoda; Insecta; Lepidoptera; Gelechiidae
Description: uncharacterized LOC126374538
Source: RNAcentral
AAUUCUCCCAUUGGGCACAGGAUAAACGGUUUAUGUUUACGUAUUGAUUUUAAAGACAACUAAGCCUACCCUUUGGUUUUGGUGUCAUACAAGACCAUUAACUCGGCCCCAGGGGGGGACAGAGUCAUCUUCUCUGCCCCCCACUGGGGCAAUUCCUGUUCGGCGCGUCCUAGCCGCGGGGGUGGGCGCCUCUUACUUCAGUAGGCCGGAGUAAGAUGGUGGCUGAGUUCGGAUAGGGACCCAGAUCUACUGGGUAUAACGUAAAACCCUUGCCCGGGGAUACGGGUGAAGACCUCAACGGUUGCAGAGGCGGAGAUGAGAGCGAUCGGUACGGCAAUGCAGGAUGGAAGAGGCGAGUCACAGGGAAUGUAACCUGGAACCUGACAGAGGGCAGCAGUAACUGUCAGAACUAUUCAGAGGCGGAUGACAGGAGUCUAAGUACGGCUUUGAAAUAGACUACUCUGGGCGCCAUCCCACUCACGUCAGACAGAGUACUGCGGGACAGAAGGACUUCUUGUGCGGCUGCUUGCGAAAAAACAUGAAGCUGUUGGUCCCGAGCUACUAGCCCAAAUAUCUCCACCAACACGUACUGGAGUAUGCUUCAUACCGCCCAGCAGUGGGGAGUAUAUUAUACAUUCAAAAUUGAGACUAUGUUUAUAAUGAGUCGUAGUUCUUGUGCACGGACUUUUUUUUCUUACUAUAGCCUCGUAAGCCCUGGGGUCCUCUGAGAAGGACCAAAUAAUUGUAGUCAUAAAGGCCGAAGGUUUUGAAAUAGUUUGUUCUAAUAAUCAACGAAGGUACUUUUAAAAGUACCAAAACUUUGCCUGUCAAUUUAAUUCAAACCUUUGCGCCGAUUGAGAAAAAAAGUAUUUUGUCUAUGAACUAGUUCAUUCAAUUUCGUGAAUAGGUGGCUUUCAUAAAAAAGAAAUAUGUAUCACUUGUCGUAAUUUGUCAUUUUAUUGGUAAAGUUGGUACGCACACGGCGACGAGGUAAAAAAAAAUCAAGUUAAUAAUCGAAUGUCGUAGUUUUUCAUACACAUUAUUUUCAGAAAUCACAGGUAAGAUAAUAAUCAACAACAUGACAUAGUUAUUUUAUCAAUUUCGUAUCGAUAUCGUUAGCAAUAUGAAAGCAAACUUUUUUAGUCCUUUGCAAGGGACUUUAGGUGUCAUGUCCGGAUAUUUUUCAAAUACUUUUUUAAAUUGUUAUAUGUGAUUAAAUCAUACCGAUAUAGACUGACUUGCUUACGUGAUCUUAUUAUUAAAAAAAAGUACCGUCUUCAUUUUAUUUCCUUUUUCCUUAUAAUGAUGAUUUAAACUGACACCAUGAAUUAAUUUCUUUCCUAAUAAUAAAAACCUAAUGUACUUCCAGAGGGACUAAUCACAAACUACACCAUAAAAACUAAAACUCGUUACUUAUUUUAUAUUUAAAUAUGUAAGUAUAUACACAUAUUUAUGACGUACAAAUAGGUAUGUAUGUUAAUGAAAAAAUACAUAACCCUUUAUAAUAAUAAUAUUUUUCAGAUUUUACUAAAAGUAGUGACUUAAACCGGGAGUCCUUCUGGAAGAACUAAAAAAAAAACGUAUUUUUUUCAAAAAUGUCUUCUAUUCAUCCUUACAUAGGUCUCCACUUAAUUUGAACCCGAUCGGAUAACUCUAACACUUUAAAAUUUGUACUUGAAGUGCUCGGCCUUUACGACUACAAAAAUUUGGUCCUUUUCAAGGUACCACCGUCGUUUAUUACUUCGAAAUCGUAAUUAUGCUUCGGCGUUACGAGGAUAGAUGGCAAACUUCCUAUAUUAUUUUUUUAUUUAAAUCAGGCAACUAAGGCCCAUAUAUUAUAUGCCUUAACCUAAGCAUACAAUAUCAUAAUUAUAAGUAAACCUUCCUAUGGGCGAGGUUUCGACAAUGGUUAAAUAUUGGUUUGGAUUUUAAAAGAACAUUCGAUCUUACGACUAUAUUUUUUAGUCGGUUCAUAGCAUGGUAAGUAGCUGAAUGCAUUCAACUUUGUUUUUUGCUCCCAACCCAGCAAAGAAAUGUAAGAUCCAUCAUUUCUGCCUUAAAAGAUAUUUUAGUUGGGAAGCGCACUCCAUCCACCGCAUUCUCAGUUUCUAUUAAAUAAAUUCUCUUCUUUCUAUCGGAAUUCCGUUCCGUUCUAACUAAAAGACGGAACAUUUUCUUGCAAAAUCUGUCGAAACGAAGUUACAGCGGAAAGAAAUCCUUGAAGUAAAAGUACAAAAGAAGCGUGGAAUCCGUCAAUGCGACUUAGCUGAGUAAGGCUCGUCGUACACGCGAUGCUUUUAGCGUCGGCAAAUAGCAGUGGGUACAUACUUUCGAGUUUUUUCUUCGGAAAUCCAUGCUGUGUUCGUAAUGCCAAGCAUUUGGUUAUUUGAUAUUACAUUCCUAAUUACGUGCGUUUUUAGUUUUGUUUCUAUGCUGGACUGAGAGCGAAUACAUAGAACGCGAUCAGCUGCUUAUCAAUCCGGGCAUGACGUAAACCUUUCGGAGCAGUUUACCAGAUUCUCAAUU